AGUUUGAUCCUGGCUCAGAACGAACGCUGGCGGCAGGCUUAACACAUGCAAGUCGAGCGGGCCCUUCGGGGUCAGCGGCAGACGGGUGAGUAACGCGUGGGAAUCUACCCAUCCCUACGGAACAACUCCGGGAAACUGGAGCUAAUACCGUAUACGCCCUUUUGGGGAAAGAUUUAUCGGGGAUGGAUGAGCCCGCGUUGGAUUAGCUAGUUGGUGGGGUAAAGGCCUACCAAGGCGACGAUCCAUAGCUGGUCUGAGAGGAUGAUCAGCCACAUUGGGACUGAGACACGGCCCAAACUCCUACGGGAGGCAGCAGUGGGGAAUACUGGACAAUGGGCGCAAGCCUGAUCCAGCCAUGCCGCGUGAGUGAUGAAGGCCCUAGGGUUGUAAAGCUCUUUCAACGGUGAAGAUAAUGACGGUAGCCGUAGAAGAAGCCCCGGCUAACUUCGUG
This 451-nucleotide ribosomal RNA is filed under the name uncultured Hyphomicrobiales bacterium. RNAcentral describes it as "bacterial SSU rRNA". It matches the Rfam family "Bacterial small subunit ribosomal RNA", at positions 10 to 507 of the family's 1533-position model. The record is from RNAcentral. Lineage: Bacteria; Pseudomonadati; Pseudomonadota; Alphaproteobacteria; Hyphomicrobiales.